GACAGAGGGUGCAAACGUUGCUCGGAAUCACUGGGCGUAAAGGGCGUGUAGGCGGGAAGGAAAGUCAGAUGUGAAAUCCCUGGGCUCAACCCAGGAACUGCAUUUGAAACUCCCUUCUUGAGUACCGGAGAGGAAGGUGGAAUUCCUGGUGUAGAGGUGAAAUUCGUAGAUAUCAGGAGGAACACCGGUGGCGAAGGCGGCCUUCUGGACGGUAACUGACGCUGAGACGCGAAAGCGUGGGGAGCGAACAGG
RNAcentral lists this ribosomal RNA (252 nucleotides) under uncultured bacterium. RNAcentral describes it as "partial 16S ribosomal RNA". It matches the Rfam family "Bacterial small subunit ribosomal RNA", at positions 524 to 776 of the family's 1533-position model. The record is from RNAcentral.